UACGGAGGGUGCAAGCGUUGUCCGGAUUUAUUGGGUUUAAAGGGUGCGUAGGCGGCUGAAUAAGUCAGCGGUGAAAGACUUCGGCUUAACCGGAGCAGUGCCGUUGAUACUGUUUGGCUUGAGUGUUGAAGGGGUACAUGGAAUUGAUGGUGUAGCGGUGAAAUGCAUAGAUACCAUCAGGAACACCGAUAGCGAAGGCAUUGUACUGGCCAACAACUGACGCUGAGGCACGAAAGUGUGGGGAUCGAACAGG
Molecule: ribosomal RNA, 253 nt
Filed under: uncultured bacterium
Lineage: Bacteria
Description: partial 16S ribosomal RNA
Rfam family: Bacterial small subunit ribosomal RNA
Source: RNAcentral